GAUUAAAUGGCUGAAGUUUAGGCGAUAAAUUGUAAAUUUAUUUAUGGGAGAUAUCUCUUUAAUCA
RNAcentral lists this transfer RNA (65 nucleotides) under Anopheles aff. oswaldoi SPForm PGF-2018. RNAcentral's name for it is "tRNA-Tyr". It matches the Rfam family "tRNA". From Rfam's summary of the family: Transfer RNA (tRNA) molecules are approximately 80 nucleotides in length. Their secondary structure includes four short double-helical elements and three loops (D, anti-codon, and T loops). Lineage: Eukaryota; Metazoa; Arthropoda; Insecta; Diptera; Culicidae. The record is from RNAcentral.